UGUGUAGGCGGUUUUCUAAGUUUGGUGUGAAAUCUCCCGGCUUAACCGGGAGGGUGCGCCGAAAACUGGGAGACUAGAGUGCGGGAUGGGAGAGUAGAAUUCCUGGUGUAGCGGUGAAAUGCGUAGAUAUCAGGAGGAAUACCGGUGGUGUAGACGGCUCUCUGGACCGCCACUGACGCUGAGACACGAAAGCGUGGGUAGAAAC
RNAcentral lists this ribosomal RNA (205 nucleotides) under uncultured bacterium. RNAcentral's name for it is "partial 16S ribosomal RNA". It matches the Rfam family "Bacterial small subunit ribosomal RNA", at positions 568 to 772 of the family's 1533-position model. The record is from RNAcentral.